Molecule: long non-coding RNA, 339 nt
Filed under: Equus caballus (horse)
Lineage: Eukaryota; Metazoa; Chordata; Mammalia; Perissodactyla; Equidae
Description: lncRNA (ENSECAG00000029590.3)
Source: RNAcentral
GUAUUUGAGGAGGACUGUGAGCUGGGGGAAGAGAGAUGGUUGGACGGUUGGAGCUUUGGAUGAGUUUGGGUUCCUCCAUAAGCCAACUGAGUGUUGGAACCAGUGUUUAAAUUGUGAAAGAUCAUUGCUUCAAGAUGCUGGGACGGCUCUGACAACGAAGAAGGAAAGACAUCAUGGAAGAUUUUUUUUCUCCACAGAAGAAAAGAACACUGACAGCAAGAAAAAUAUCUGUGUGUUCUCUAAGUACGUAAUCUCUAAUUUUUUUUUUAAUUCACUUAGGAAACUUUGAAAAACAAGAUCUAUUUGAUACCUGAUCUUAAUUUUUUAAACCAUGAAUCA